This 253-nucleotide ribosomal RNA is filed under the name uncultured bacterium. Its description in RNAcentral is "partial 16S ribosomal RNA". It matches the Rfam family "Bacterial small subunit ribosomal RNA", at positions 524 to 776 of the family's 1533-position model. The record is from RNAcentral.
UACGUAGGGACCAAGCGUUGUUCGGAUUUACUGGGCGUAAAGGGCGCGUAGGCGGCGCGACAAGUCACUUGUGAAAUCUCUGGGCUUAACUCAGAACGGCCAAGUGAUACUGCUGUGCUAGAGUGCAGAAGGGGCAAUCGGAAUUCUUGGUGUAGCGGUGAAAUGCGUAGAUAUCAAGAGGAACACCUGAGGUGAAGACGGGUUGCUGGGCUGACACUGACGCUGAGGCGCGAAAGCUAGGGGAGCGAACAGG